GCCGACAUGGCGGAAUUGGCAGACGCACUGCACUCAAAAUGCAGCGCCCUUGCGGGCGUCCGGGUUCGACUCCCGGUGUCGGCA
RNAcentral lists this transfer RNA (84 nucleotides) under Corynebacterium glucuronolyticum. Its description in RNAcentral is "tRNA-Leu". It matches the Rfam family "tRNA". Rfam says of the family: Transfer RNA (tRNA) molecules are approximately 80 nucleotides in length. Their secondary structure includes four short double-helical elements and three loops (D, anti-codon, and T loops). Further hydrogen bonds mediate the characteristic L-shaped molecular structure. tRNAs have two regions of fundamental functional importance: the anti-codon, which is responsible for specific mRNA codon recognition, and the 3' end, to which the tRNAs corresponding amino acid is attached (by aminoacyl-tRNA synthetases). tRNAs cope with the degeneracy of the genetic code in two manners: having more than one tRNA (with a specific anti-codon) for a particular amino acid; and 'wobble' base-pairing, i.e. permitting non-standard base-pairing at the 3rd anti-codon position. RNAcentral also lists the same sequence under 4 other names. The record is from RNAcentral. Lineage: Bacteria; Bacillati; Actinomycetota; Actinomycetes; Mycobacteriales; Corynebacteriaceae.